Molecule: ribosomal RNA, 83 nt
Filed under: Staphylococcus caprae
Lineage: Bacteria; Bacillati; Bacillota; Bacilli; Caryophanales; Staphylococcaceae
Description: partial 16S ribosomal RNA
Rfam family: Bacterial small subunit ribosomal RNA
Source: RNAcentral
UUUUUUUAUGGAGAGUUUGAUCCUGGCUCAGGAUGAACGCUGGCGGCGUGCCUAAUACAUGCAAGUCGAGCGAACAGACGAGG